AAGGCAGUCCGUUCUAUCGAUUCGUAAAAGCGAAUAGGAAAGUCCGGGCAACACAGGGCAUCGCACUUCCUAACGGGAAGGCGCUUUGGACUUCGGUUCGGGGCGACAGACAGUGUCACAGAAAGCGAAACCGCCACCCUCGGGUGGUAAGGGUGAAAAAGUGGGGUAAGAGCCCACUCAUCUCGGAGUGAUUCGAGGUUGGGACAAACCUUGCGGGUUGAAAGGUCAAAUAAACCUGGAUCAAAGGGCGGCCCGCCCAAUUGUUUCGGCAAGCCAGGAGGGUAGACCGAUGGAGGUGUAGCGUGAGUUACACCCUAGAUCAAUGAUAGAAGCCCCAGGCAACUGGGGUACAGAACCCGGCUUACAGGACUGCCUUUUUU
RNAcentral lists this RNase P RNA (380 nucleotides) under Bacteroidota bacterium. Its description in RNAcentral is "Bacteroidetes bacterium (freshwater metagenome) RNase P RNA component class A". It matches the Rfam family "Bacterial RNase P class A". From Rfam's summary of the family: Ribonuclease P (RNase P) is a ubiquitous endoribonuclease, found in archaea, bacteria and eukarya as well as chloroplasts and mitochondria. Its best characterised activity is the generation of mature 5'-ends of tRNAs by cleaving the 5'-leader elements of precursor-tRNAs. Cellular RNase Ps are ribonucleoproteins. Lineage: Bacteria; Pseudomonadati; Bacteroidota. The record is from RNAcentral.